GUAGACGACGCCCUCCUCGACAGUGAGGCGCAUACGGUAACUUUAUGAAUCUUGUGAUCUGCCGACUCAGUCAUUCGGAGGUGCUCAUAGGAGUAGGGUUUACGCGUACGCUGCGUUAUAUUGGUAAUUCCUUAAAAAGAGCCAUGAGAGUUUAAAUAUUAUAUAUAUAUAUACAUAUAUAUACCUAUUUAUAAAAAGUGAAAAUUUCUCUGCCACCUUAUUUCUGUUCGGCAGGUUUCGGAAUCCGGUCAGCCUCGGCUCCGAAUCGGCCUGUCAGCGCAGUGAAGAGGAAAAAAAGGAAUAUAAAGUUUUCUAAGGUUCCUAAUGCAAAAUCUCCUAAUUAUUAACAAUACAUAUCAGAAUACAUUGAGAAUAACCAAAAUACAGGGACCUAGAUGCAAAGUGUUUGUCCUAUUUACUUUUCUUUUAUUCUUUAAAUUGGCUGAAAAUUGAUAAAUAUGUAGUAAUUCAUAGAAAAAUCUAAAAAUUACAAAACAAAUUUUGUUCAGCUCCAUAUAUGUAGAUUCAUGCACUAAACAAAAAAUAUCAUAAAUUUUAGUAUAUUUUGUGUAACAUCCUAAAAUUUCGCUCCUUUUUAAAUAGAUGAAAAUUAAUUUAAUUUUGUAUUUUUUUUGUGCUCAUGAAUAUAGGGAAAUAAUAUUUUUCAUUAAAAUAAAACUUAUCAUAGAAUCUAGCAACAUGGAUGUGCAUACAUGCUAGAGCAUUUAUACUUUUGUACUGUGUGAGUUGAGCAAAUUCAAAAUAUUAUCAAAAUGAUUUGAAACUGCUUUGAAAAGACUUUGAAAUAAAAAGAAACAAAAAGAAAACAAAACAAAAGGAAAAGGAAAAGUUCCCCAUCUGUUUUCUGGCCCGAAGGCCUGGUUUCUUCCCCCUCAGCCCACUCCCUCCACCCUCCCCGCAGCCCAGCAGCAGAGCUGUGGCCCAGUUCCUCCCCCGCACCGCAACGGCCC
RNAcentral lists this long non-coding RNA (971 nucleotides) under Sorghum bicolor (sorghum). RNAcentral's name for it is "long non-coding RNA (SBIC_LNC012619)". The record is from RNAcentral. Lineage: Eukaryota; Viridiplantae; Streptophyta; Magnoliopsida; Poales; Poaceae.